AUGCCAGCCGAGGUUUCGUAUAUGAGGAUGAACUACACACCUUUCACUUUUGUUUUCUGUGCAGAACAGCCACAAGAGCAAACCACAGACCGGUUCACGGAAGAUCCUGCCGGUGAGAUUAUGAAACACACACACACACACACACACACACACACGCACACACACACACGCGCACACACACGCACACACGCGCACACACACGCACACGCACACACAGAUCAUGCAGUUUUUAUUUCUCAGGCAAGUCAUUGUCGCUUUGCAUCGACAGAGUCUUACUCGAGGUUCAUGAUGAUGGUGGCUUUGAUGUGUGUUGGCGCUCUGUUUUUCGUGUGUUUGUUCGGUCUGAUUCAAGUCCUCAAGCACAACAGCCGCAGUAAUUCAGGUUUUGUUCUCCACCGCACCAGGACUUUAUCAAACCCAGUGACGGAUGGCCACCAGAGAACACACCGUGACCUUCCAGACGUACCCAAAGUUCAAAGUGAAAAAGAGGAACGUUAUAGACCCACAGUCCCAGAUUAUAUAAACACAGAACCGGCUGACUACACUGAUGUUGUUUCAGCACAAACAAAAGAUCAGAUCUACACAGACCUGGACAGCAAUAGACAGAGUCAAGUGUAUCAGAGUCUCACAGCUGAUUCUGUUCAAGAGUCGAUCUAUCACACUAUUGAUCAGACGAGAGACUGA
Cyprinus carpio (common carp) is the source of this 684-nucleotide long non-coding RNA. The record is from Ensembl. Lineage: Eukaryota; Metazoa; Chordata; Actinopteri; Cypriniformes; Cyprinidae.